CAGGCCUUGACAUGGGGAGUAUGGGUUUCCGAAAGGAGAUCCUUCAGUUCGGCUGGCUCCCACACAGGUGCUGCAUGGCUGUCGUCAGCUCGUGUCGUGAGAUGUUGGGUUAAGUCCCGCAACGAGCGCAACCCUCGUCUUCAGUUGCCAUCAGGUCAAGCUGGGCACUCUGAAGAAACCGCCGGUGACAAGCUGGAGGAAGGUGGGGAUGACGUCAGGUCCUCAUGGCCCUUACGGCCUGGGCUACACACGUGCUACAAUGGCGGUGACAGUGGGAUGCAAAGGGGCGACCUGGAGCAAAUCCCCAAAAGCCGUCUCAGUUCGGAUUGCACUCUGCAACUCGAGUGCAUGAAGGCGGAAUCGCUAGUAAUCGCGGAUCAGCACGCCGCGGUGAAUACGUUCUC
RNAcentral lists this ribosomal RNA (404 nucleotides) under uncultured bacterium. RNAcentral describes it as "bacterial SSU rRNA". It matches the Rfam family "Bacterial small subunit ribosomal RNA", at positions 975 to 1375 of the family's 1533-position model. The record is from RNAcentral.